Molecule: ribosomal RNA, 880 nt
Filed under: uncultured bacterium
Lineage: Bacteria
Description: bacterial SSU rRNA
Rfam family: Bacterial small subunit ribosomal RNA
Source: RNAcentral
GAUCAUGGCUCAGGAUAAACGCUGGCGGCGUGCCUAACACAUGCAAGUCGAACGAAGAGGCUCCCUUCGGGGAGCACCUCAGUGGCGCACGGGUGAGUAACACGUAGGUGACCUGCCCCGAAGCAGGGAAUAACGGCUCGAAAGGGCCGCUAAUACCCAAGAGGAUCGCGUAUCAAACCGCGAUCAGAGCUACGGCGUUUCGGGAGGGGCCUGCGGCCCAUCAGCUAGUUGGUAGGGUAAUGGCCUACCAAGGCGAUGACGGGUAGGGGGCCUGAGAGGGUGGUCCCCCACACUGGCACUGACACACGGGCCAGACUCCUACGGGAGGCAGCAGUGAGGAAUAUUGCACAAUGGGCGAAAGCCUGAUGCAGCAACGCCGCGUGGGUGAUGAAGGCCUUCGGGUCGUAAAACCCUUUUCUGGGGAAAGAGAGAGGACGGUACCCCAGGAAUAAGGUUCGGCUAACUACGUGCCAGCAGCCGCGGUAAAACGUAGGAACCGAGCGUUAUCCGGAUUCAUUGGGCGUAAAGCGCCUGCAGGCGGUCUUGUAAGUUGGACGUGAAAUCUCUCGGCUCAACUGGGAGGUGCCGUUCAAUACUGCGAGGCUUGAGGGCAGAAGAGGGAAGUGGAAUUCCCGGUGUAGUGGUGAAAUGCGUAGAUAUCGGGAGGAACACCAGUGGCGAAGGCGGCUUCCUGGUCUGUACCUGACGCUAAGAGGCGAAAGCUAGGGGAGCGAACGGGAUUAGAAACCCCGGUAGUCCUAGCCGUAAACGAUGGACGCUAGGUGUAGGUGGUCCUAACCCCAUCUGUGCCGAAGCUAACGCGUUAAGCGUCCCGCCUGGGGACUACGACCGCAAGGUUAAAACUCAAAUGAAUUGACGG